GCACCAUGGUUGGUUCAUCAUGCCAGGAUUCAUGGGCCAGGGAUCCAUGGGCAGGGGACCCGCGGGUAGCAGCAAGAAUGAGGACGGAGAGAGCAGCUGCAGGGACCUUCAUCUCCCCAGUGUGCAGACAGCUCUGGCCUGAGGAUCCUGGCUUCUU
Molecule: long non-coding RNA, 157 nt
Organism: Pipistrellus kuhlii (Kuhl's pipistrelle)
Lineage: Eukaryota; Metazoa; Chordata; Mammalia; Chiroptera; Vespertilionidae
Exons: 3
Source: RefSeq, a predicted model, not a curated record